UUAUCUGAACCUUCGGGGAACGAUAACGGCGUCGAGCGGCGGACGGGUGAGUAAUGCCUAGGAAAUUGCCCUGRUGUGGGGGAUAACCAUUGGAAACGAUGGCUAAUACCGCAUAAUACCUACGGGUCAAAGAGGGGGACCUUCGGGCCUCUCGCGUCAGGAUAUGCCUAGGUGGGAUUAGCUAGUUGGUGAGGUAAUGGCUCACCAAGGCGACGAUCCCUAGCUGGUCUGAGAGGAUGAUCAGCCACACUGGAACUGAGACACGGUCCAGACUCCUACGGGAGGCAGCAGUGGGGAAUAUUGCACAAUGGGCGCAAGCCUGAUGCAGCCAUGCCGCGUGUGUGAAGAAGGCCUUCGGGUUGUAAAGCACUUUCAGUCGUGAGGAAGGUAGUGUAGUUAAUAGCUGCAUUAUUUGACGUUAGCGACAGAAGAAGCACCGGCUAACUCCGUGCCAGCAGCCGCGGUAAUACGGAGGGUGCGAGCGUUAAUCGGAAUUACUGGGCGUAAAGCGCAUGCAGGUGGUUUGUUAAGUCAGAUGUGAAAGCCCGGGGCUCAACCUCGGAAUAGCAUUUGAAACUGGCAGACUAGAGUACUGUAGAGGGGGGUAGAAUUUCAGGUGUAGCGGUGAAAUGCGUAGAGAUCUGAAGGAAUACCGGUGGCGAAGGCGGCCCCCUGGACAGAUACUGACACUCAGAUGCGAAAGCGUGGGGAGCAAACAGGAUUAGAUACCCUGGUAGUCCACGCCGUAAACGAUGUCUACUUGGAGGUUGUGGCCUUGAGCCGUGGCUUUCGGAGCUAACGCGUUAAGUAGACCGCCUGGGGAGUACGGUCGCAAGAUUAAAACUCAAAUGAAUUGACGGGGGCCCGCACAAGCGGUGGAGCAUGUGGUUUAAUUCGAUGCAACGCGAAGAACCUUACCUACUCUUGACAUCCAGAGAACUUUCCAGAGAUGGAUUGGUGCCUUCGGGAACUCUGAGACAG
RNAcentral lists this ribosomal RNA (981 nucleotides) under Vibrio harveyi. RNAcentral describes it as "bacterial SSU rRNA". Lineage: Bacteria; Pseudomonadati; Pseudomonadota; Gammaproteobacteria; Vibrionales; Vibrionaceae. The record is from RNAcentral.